UUUUGUUUAGGGGCCUGGUUUUUCUUUGCUUUGCCACAAGCUUAAGCUAUACAUACAUUUACUAAUUACUUAUGUGCACUUAGAUGUUUUAAAGAAGCUGAGCAUAACAAAAUGUCAUGACGAAGCACAGCACGUGAAGAUUAUUCUGCACCAGUUCUUUGCCCUAUUAGUUUUAAUCAUUUUAAAUAACAUGAUUUUUCUGGUACAAGAUUGCAGGACAGGAGAUGGGGUAGGGCCAAUUAUAAGGAAUUUCAGUUUGAUUUUUUCUAGAUUUAAAUGUUUGCUUCAUCACUGUAAACCUUGUUGAUUUGAGCAAAUGACUGAAGUUUUGUUCCCCAUUGGGAAUUCAGUAUGUGAAGUGUUUUUGGGGGAUUGCAUGUGGUAUUUACUUUGUGUGUUUUUUUUUUUUUUUUUUU
Ochotona princeps (American pika) is the source of this 416-nucleotide long non-coding RNA. RefSeq lists it as uncharacterized. The transcript is spliced from 2 exons. The record is from RefSeq and is a predicted model, not a curated record. Lineage: Eukaryota; Metazoa; Chordata; Mammalia; Lagomorpha; Ochotonidae.